Gadus macrocephalus (Pacific cod) is the source of this 1819-nucleotide long non-coding RNA. RefSeq lists it as uncharacterized. The transcript has 2 exons. Lineage: Eukaryota; Metazoa; Chordata; Actinopteri; Gadiformes; Gadidae. The record is from RefSeq and is a predicted model, not a curated record.
UAUUCCUUAUGUAAAACAAGAACAUGAUGUGAAAUAUAUAAAAUCUGAUCCUUUGUUUCUAUGAAUAUUGCAUCACAUUUGGAAAUCAAAGCCCCAUCCUCACUGAUCAUAAUCCCUUGGUGUACCUGAAAUCGAUGCGUUACACCAAUCAAAGGCUGAUGCGUUGGAGCAUUUUCAUGCAUGCCUUCAACGUCGUUAUUAAGCACAUUCGAGGCAAGGAUAACGUGGUAGGAGAUGCGUUGUCGCGCUUGUGUUCCUGAUUCGUGGGGUGGAGCUACGACUACUAUCCCUACUUAAGGCGUGGCCUGUGCUCCCGAACGGGGGGGGUCUCUCAUUCUGGCAUCUUCACGUUGACCUGAGCUGCCUUUGAAUCCUGCAUUGAGGACUGCUAUCUAGGAGUUUUUCGUAUUUGUUUUCUGUAGCGGAGGAUGGGAACUGAAGGGAGGAAGUUUUGGCUUCGAUGGCCCAAUGCGUGGCUUGCCCAGGCUUCGUCCACCCCUUUUGUUUCUUUAAUCAGUUCCCCUUUUGUUGGAAGUUUUUGGAAAUAAAAGUCACCAUCAUUGUAAACGGUAACUUUGGUCUGUGUAUUCUUAAUACGUUGCGGGCCGCCGGAUUGCGAGCCGUGUUGUAAGGGUGGCCGGAACAUCCCGCACACGCAGGACUUUGUCGGAGGCUUCCCCGAGCCCUCGGUUAGGGUAGGUUCAACCUCAGACUGCAUGGUCUCCGCUUUACGCUUAUGCCCAGCCGCCGUUUGGUGACAGGUCAGCUUGGACACGUGGAUUGCAGCUAGUGUGGGUACUUGCAGCUAGUAUGGUUACUAGCAGCUACUGUUUGGUGACAGUCUAGCUUUUACCCUCACAGAGGUCAGAUGUAGCGAUGUAGGCUAGCGUUCGGUGACCGAGGGGUUAGCUCGCUCUGGGAACAAUAUGCUAGGCCGUCUACAACUUCUGUCUGAGAGGUGCUUCUAGGAGCGAGAAGAGGUUGAAGACUGAAGAGAUGACUUGACGACGGGACUUAUGUUACGUAGUAGGAGGGAGUCCCUCCUCUGCAGGCAGACGUGACGUCUGUUGGCCAGUCACGACUGGCGUAGUUUAAAAUAGCUUCUGGGGGACAGCGCGAGGGGCGUGUCCCAAAGUGAGAUACCGAGCGAAUAUUGAAAGAAAACUGCGCAGGGCAACAUCAAGGAGAGAUUUGCUUCCGCAUCAUGGGAGCCAAGCCACGCCCUAGUUCAUGACGUACAGGAUGCAGAAAUAUUCAUUGUUUUCUAGCAUUGUUAGCAUUGUAGCAUCAUAAGCGAGAGGUCUGAGCGAUCGCAGUGGCAUUGUUUACCGACCAUGGAAGUAUAAGUUUACUUCAUAAUAUGAAAGAUUGCCUCAUAUAACACCAACAACAUAGUAAAUAUAUGUUGGCCUAGAAAAAAAUACUGUUCAAUGUUAUUGCUUAACCUCUUAAGACCCAUUCGCCCACCGGUGGGCGAUUUUGGUUUGUUGACGAUAUGUUUCCACUACGGAGCGACAUAACCCGCUUCAACUUUCAUCAUUACAGACAUUCUAUACGUCGUUAGAAAGGGUAGAAUCUCCACAAUUUAUUCAUCCGGUUGUUUUUUCUAUAAAUCAUGAGCACAAAACCAUCAAUCAUUGAUAUUUACCAGCAUGGUAAACCGUAAAUGCCAAAAAACAGAGCGACUCCCUACCUUUGAAGCAAUCUGAGAACCGUAAUAUGUGUCCAUUCCUCAAUUAUUUAUAUUCCAAUUGUCCGUGAGAAUCCACUGAUCAAAAGCAUCCAAAUGGUUUUUCAUAAAAUUAUUCCAGCUUGUGAA